This 89-nucleotide transfer RNA is filed under the name Actinomycetota bacterium. RNAcentral describes it as "tRNA-Ser". It matches the Rfam family "tRNA". Rfam says of the family: Transfer RNA (tRNA) molecules are approximately 80 nucleotides in length. Lineage: Bacteria; Bacillati; Actinomycetota. The record is from RNAcentral.
GGAGGGAUGCGAGAGCGGCCGAAUCGGACGGUCUCGAAAACCGUUGUGCCCCCUGGGCACCGUGGGUUCAAAUCCCACUCCCUCCGCCA